GGCUGCUGCCAUGAGGUGACUUCUGCCCAGUGCUCUGGUUGUCAAUGCCAAGAGAUUGAGCCAAGCGCGGGUAAACGGCGGGAGUAACUAUGACUCUCUUAAGGUAGCCAAAUGCCUCGUCAACCAAUUAUUGACGCGCAUGAAUGGAUCAACGAGAUUCCUGCUGUCCCUAGCUGCUACCUGGUGAACCAACAGCCAAGGGAACGGGCUUGGAUGUGUCAGCGGGGAAAGAAGACCCUGUUGAGUUUGACUCUAGCUUGCUGCUGUGCAACGACAUGUGGGGUGUAGCACAGGUGGGAGGCCAGUGCCAUCUCCAGCUCCCAGCGCCAAAGAGUGUCAGUGUCACCUACUGCUCAGCCUGUGUGGCAGGGCACCAGGGAAGGAAGUGCUGUGCAGGCAGGCAGUCACUGUGUGUGCCCUGCUGCACCCUUCUGUGUCAGUGUCAGUGCCAAGGGAAGCUCUGUGAGAGCAUGGUGCAAACCAGCAGUGAAAUACCACUACCUUCACCGUCGUUUUGCUCAGUGAGUGGCUUGGGACUGGUGGCCAUUGGACAUCAACUGCUGCACUCAACUGUGGUGGUUGUGGCCUGAACCCACUUCGUGUGCCAAGCAUGGCUGCCCCUGUGGUGGCUGUGCGACCCUGUGGGGUGAUGAACCCUGUCCAUGUUUGCUUGGAGCCUCGGGACAAUGAGCAGCUGGGGAGUUUGGCUGGGGCGGCACGCCUGUUACACCACAACGCAGGCGUCCUGAAGCAUUGCUCAGAUGGAACAGAAAUCUCCCAUGGAGGAGAAGGCCAAAGGUGCUGCUGAUGUGUUGACUUCCAGUGCAAGUCCAGAACAUGCAAGUGUGGCCCAGCGAUCCUUUGGUUAAGUGCACGGGUUUGCGACAUUGAAGCCAGAGGUGUCAGAAAAAUUACCACAGGGAUAACUGGCUUGUGGCUGCCAAGCGUUCAAAGCGACGUGGCUUUUUGAUCCUUCGAUGUCGGCUCUUCCUAGCUUUGCACCCGCAGCUGAGUCAAAGAGUUGGAUUGUUCACCCACCAACAGGGAACGUGAGCUGG
This is a ribosomal RNA of 1058 nucleotides. It matches the Rfam family "Eukaryotic large subunit ribosomal RNA", at positions 2176 to 2960 of the family's 3401-position model.